Molecule: non-coding RNA, 74 nt
Organism: Schistocerca nitens (vagrant locust)
Lineage: Eukaryota; Metazoa; Arthropoda; Insecta; Orthoptera; Acrididae
Source: the annotation of a RefSeq genome assembly
GCCCGUGUGGCCGAGCGGUUCUAGGCGCUGCACUCCGGCUGCUAUGGUCGCAGGUUCGAAUCCUGCCUCGGGCA